This 451-nucleotide ribosomal RNA is filed under the name uncultured bacterium. RNAcentral describes it as "partial 16S ribosomal RNA". It matches the Rfam family "Bacterial small subunit ribosomal RNA", at positions 354 to 796 of the family's 1533-position model. The record is from RNAcentral.
GUGGGGAAUAUUGGACAAUGGGCGAAAGCCUGAUCCAGCCAUGCCGCGUGUGUGAAGAAGGCCUUUUGGUUGUAAAGCACUUUAAGCGAGGAGGAGGCUCCUUUAGUUAAUACCUAAAGUGAGUGGACGUUACUCGCAGAAUAAGCACCGGCUAACUCUGUGCCAGCAGCCGCGGUAAUACAGAGGGUGCAAGCGUUAAUCGGAUUUACUGGGCGUAAAGCGCGCGUAGGUGGCCAAUUAAGUCAAAUGUGAAAUCCCCGAGCUUAACUUGGGAAUUGCAUUCGAUACUGGUUGGCUAGAGUAUGGGAGAGGAUGGUAGAAUUCCAGGUGUAGCGGUGAAAUGCGUAGAGAUCUGGAGGAAUACCGAUGGCGAAGGCAGCCAUCUGGCCUAAUACUGACACUGAGGUGCGAAAGCAUGGGGAGCAAACAGGAUUAGAAACCCUUGUAGUCC